CACGAACGUAUACGUACCAGUCUGUGUUAAUGUUUCAUUCUUUAAAGAAGUGUAAUAACUUUCCUCUGUCCUCUUUCCUUUGUCUCAGCUUCUCUUUGUCUGUCCUCUGUCCUCCACAGAGCCACUGUAACAGUCAGUUUGAAGCGUUUGGUUUCUCUUCAGCUCGUCCGCCUGCUGCUGCUGGACGACGACGUCACCGUUUUAACACCAAGAGCUUGAAGACGUCUCAUCUGAAGACCCGAUGGACCCGGCGUCCCGACCAGCGCCGCCCAAAGACCACGGCUUCCCUCCUCGGCCUGACGCAAUAAGUUUAAAGUCAAGGUCAGGAGGCGACGGGGGGCCGGAGAUUAGCAGAGAAGCUAC
This is a long non-coding RNA of Gasterosteus aculeatus aculeatus (three-spined stickleback), 363 nucleotides long. NCBI's taxonomy places the organism in Eukaryota, Metazoa, Chordata, Actinopteri, Perciformes, Gasterosteidae. The record is from Ensembl.